UACGUAGGGGGCAAGCGUUGUCCGGAUUUAUUGGGCGUAAAGAGCGUGUAGGCGGCCUUACAGGUCAGCUGUGAAAACUCGAGGCUCAACCUCGAGACGUCGGUUGAAACCGUAAGGCUAGAGUCCGGAAGAGGAGAGUGGAAUUCCCGGUGUAGCGGUGAAAUGCGCAGAUAUCAGGAAGAACACCCGUGGCUAAGGCGGCUCUCUGGUACGUGACUGACGCUGAGACGCGAAAGCGUGGGGAGCGAACAGG
This 253-nucleotide ribosomal RNA is filed under the name uncultured bacterium. RNAcentral's name for it is "partial 16S ribosomal RNA". It matches the Rfam family "Bacterial small subunit ribosomal RNA", at positions 524 to 776 of the family's 1533-position model. The record is from RNAcentral.